CUUGGUCAUUUAGAGGAAGUAAAAGUCGUAACAAGGUUUCCGUAGGUGAACCUGCGGAAGGAUCAUUCAUAAUAAGUGUUUUAUGGCACUUUUUAACUCCAUAUCCACCUUGUGUGCAAUGUCGGUCGAUCUUCUUCUUGGGGAUCGACCAAACAUCAACCUUUAUCUUUUAACUCUUUGUCUGAAAAAUAUUAUGAAUAAACAAUUCAAAAUACAACUUUCAACAACGGAUCUCUUGGCUCUCGCAUCGAUGAAGAACGCAGCGAAAUGCGAUACGUAAUGUGAAUUGCAGAAUUCAGUGAAUCAUCGAAUCUUUGAACGCAUAUUGCGCUCUUUGGUAUUCCGAAGAGCAUGCUUGUUUGAGUAUCAGUAAACACCUCAAAGCUUUUGGAUUUUUUUUGAAAGCUUUGGACUUGAGCAAUCCCAACACCAAUCUUUUUUUUAAGAUCGGUGGCGGGUUGCUUGAAAUGCAGGUGCAGCUGGACAUUCUCCUGAGCUAAAAGCAUAUUCAUUUAGUCCCGUCAAACGGAUUAUUACUUUUGCUGCAGCUAACAUAAAGGGAGUUUGACCGUAUUGGCUGACUGAUGCAGGAUUUCACAAGGGUCGGCAACGAUUCUUGUUAAACUCGAUCUCAAAUCAAGUAAGACUACCCGCUGAACUUAGGCAUAUCAAUAAGCGGAGGA
Molecule: ribosomal RNA, 683 nt
Filed under: uncultured basal lineage fungus
Lineage: Eukaryota; Fungi
Description: eukaryotic LSU rRNA
Rfam family: 5.8S ribosomal RNA (bases 216-369)
Source: RNAcentral